Planococcus citri (citrus mealybug) is the source of this 1002-nucleotide long non-coding RNA. RefSeq lists it as uncharacterized. The transcript is spliced from 3 exons. Lineage: Eukaryota; Metazoa; Arthropoda; Insecta; Hemiptera; Pseudococcidae. The record is from RefSeq and is a predicted model, not a curated record.
UUUGGCAAGAUGAUUUUUUAAAUCCGAUAUUCUAUGAAUUAAUCCUUUGUAUCUACUCAAUUUUAAAAUAGCGUUCCAAAUAAAUCAAUAUUACCUGCCGAUGACAUCACAAUGUGUGAUACAGCACAACGAAUAAUGUAUUUUUUUUGUGUACAUAAGAUGCAGCAACAAGUAGAUUUCUAUAACAUUCAUCCUAGCAAUGAACUGCAAGCCUGCCACAACCUUAAGAUAGGGGUUAGAUUAAUUUUCCCACAAUAAAGGGACAAUUUACUUCCAACCAUAUUUCAAAACUUUCAUCCAGAAGUUAUCUAAUCACUAAUGAAAGAAGAAAAACAGAAAAGGGUCAUUACUCUUUUUGCGUCAUUCCAGGAUCCUCAUAGUAAGAUAGAUUUGUUCCUUCAACUGCCAUUGAUUAUAUCCCCAUUUCUUUAUUAUUUACCUAAUAAUGAUGAUGAAUUAAUUUUUACUUAUUUUUUCAACUACCUAUAGUUAACAUGGAUUAAUAGUUGUCAAAUUUUAAACAUCAAAGUGAAUAAUUGUAAAUCAAAUUUUGAAGUGCAUAAAAAAUUAAUCUUAUAUAAUUAUAAUCUGUGAAACAACUUGUUAAAUGUAAGUUGAAGUUGUACCUUUGAUAUGCCAUAUUUUCAAUAACUUGUGUUUUUUUUUUCAUUAUUGCAUUUUUGUGAUUUUAAAUUUUAAAAUUCAUUUCAAUUUAAAUCAUGCAAUUUUUCAUUUUUUUACCCACCCUGUUUUUGUUACUUGCAAACUACUCUUUUUAGCCUGAAACAUCUUUUUUCACCUUAAUUCUUAUUGAUAAUAAUGCUUAGAUUGAAAAAAUAGCUUCUUUUUGAUUAUUUUAUUGAGUAGUAAUACACGUUUCUUGUUUUUUUCAAUCAUUGUACACAAAUAGGCCUAUGUUUAAAUAUACUAAAUAUACAAUUUGAGUGAGGAUGAAUUAUUGGUGAAUGAUCACUGUUAGUAAGGGCUAUCUAUAGGAUGUCC